UGUGAGGUUGGCAUUGUUGUCUGGCAUUGUCUGAUAUACAACAGUGCCAACCUCACAGG
RNAcentral lists this microRNA precursor (59 nucleotides) under Pongo abelii (Sumatran orangutan). RNAcentral's name for it is "Pab-Mir-1294_pre stem-loop". Lineage: Eukaryota; Metazoa; Chordata; Mammalia; Primates; Hominidae. RNAcentral also lists the same sequence under 1 other name. The record is from RNAcentral.